AGGUGGUGAUUAAUGGAGGUGAUGGUAGCUCUCUUGGUCAAUGUGUGUGGAUAUUGUUGAUGUGGUCGGAAGAGUUGUGGACGGGGUUCUCGUAGUCAGUGGUUGUGUUGAUGUUGUUGAUGUGACCGGAAGAGUUGUGGAUGGAGCUCUCGGUGGUGGAUACGAAAGUGGUAAUAGAGGGAGAGGAGAUACUGGAGGUGGUGAUUAAUGUAAGCGAUGGUAGCUCGCUUGGUCAAUGUGUGUGUGGAUGUUGUUGAUGUGGUCGGAAGAGUGUGGACGGGGAUCUCAUGGUUGUGUGUGUGGAUGUUGUUGAUGUGGUCGGAAGAGUUGUGGACGAGGAUUUCAUGGUCAGUGGUGCUGUUGAUGUUGUUGAUGUGACCGGAAGAGUUGCAGAUGGAGCUCUCGGUGAUGGAUACGAAAAUGGUAAGAGAGAUGGAAGAGAUAGUGGAAGUAGUGAUUCAAACGGAGGUGGUAAUUAAAACGAAAGUGGUAACAGAGGUGGAGGAGAUAGUGGAGGAAGUGGCAAUGGCAGAUAUGAAGAUGAUGAUGGAAGUGGUGAUUGAAGGGGGGAUAGUGAUAAUGAA
RNAcentral lists this long non-coding RNA (584 nucleotides) under Brassica napus (rape). RNAcentral describes it as "long non-coding RNA (BNAP_LNC025358)". Lineage: Eukaryota; Viridiplantae; Streptophyta; Magnoliopsida; Brassicales; Brassicaceae. The record is from RNAcentral.